RNAcentral lists this unclassified non-coding RNA (238 nucleotides) under plant metagenome. Its description in RNAcentral is "partial contains small subunit ribosomal RNA and internal transcribed spacer 1". The stretch from base 1 to 46 matches the Rfam family "Eukaryotic small subunit ribosomal RNA", at positions 1786 to 1831 of the family's 1831-position model. The record is from RNAcentral.
AAGUCGUAACAAGGUUUCCGUAGGUGAACCUGCGGAAGGAUCAUUAACAAGAUAGGGUCUCUUCGGAGCCCGACCUCCAACCCAUUGUCUACAUAACCUCUGUUGCCUCGGUGGGCCGCCGGCGCUCUUCCGCGGGCGUCGCCGUCGGCUCUUUCAGGGCUUUCGAGCGCCCACCGCAGGGAUUUGAUUAAACUCUUUUUAAAAGCAGUAUUCUGAGUGACAAUCAAUAGCUUUAAAA